RNAcentral lists this ribosomal RNA (274 nucleotides) under uncultured bacterium. RNAcentral describes it as "partial 16S ribosomal RNA". It matches the Rfam family "Bacterial small subunit ribosomal RNA", at positions 523 to 796 of the family's 1533-position model. The record is from RNAcentral.
AUACGGAGGGAGCAAGCGUUAUUCGGAAUCACUGGGCGUAAAGGACGCGUAGGCGGGUUUGUAAGUCAGGUGUGAAAUCCUACAGCUCAACUGUAGAACUGCACUUGAAACUACAGACCUAGAGUAUGGAAGGGGCAGAUGGAAUUAGUGGUGUAGGGGUAAAAUCCGUAGAUAUCACUAGGAAUACCGAAAGCGAAGGCGAUCUGCUGGGACAUUACUGACGCUGAGGCGUGAAAGCGUGGGGAGCAAACAGGAUUAGAUACCCCUGUAGUCC